This 253-nucleotide ribosomal RNA is filed under the name uncultured bacterium. RNAcentral describes it as "partial 16S ribosomal RNA". It matches the Rfam family "Bacterial small subunit ribosomal RNA", at positions 524 to 776 of the family's 1533-position model. The record is from RNAcentral.
UACGAAGGGGGCUAGCGUUGCUCGGAAUGACUGGGCGUAAAGGGCGCGUAGGCGGAUGGCUUUGUCGGGCGUGAAAUUCCAGGGCUUAACCUUGGGGCUGCGUUCGAGACGGGUUGUCUUGAGUGGGGAAGAGGGUCGUGGAAUUCCCAGUGUAGAGGUGAAAUUCGUAGAUAUUGGGAAGAACACCGGUGGCGAAGGCGGCGACCUGGUCCUUUACUGACGCUCAUGCACGAAAGCGUGGGGAGCAAACAGG